This 389-nucleotide ribosomal RNA is filed under the name Lineacoelotes sp. ZZ046. RNAcentral describes it as "partial 16S ribosomal RNA". Lineage: Eukaryota; Metazoa; Arthropoda; Arachnida; Araneae; Agelenidae. The record is from RNAcentral.
CUCAAUGAAAUUAAAUAGCCGCAAACAUUUGUGCUAAGGUAGCAUAAUCAUUUGUUUUUUAAUUAAAAACUAGAAUGAAAGAUUUAACAUUUUAAUUUCUUUCUAAAAUAUAAAAAUUUAAUUUAUUCUAAAUAUAAAAAAAUAUUUUUACAUAAAAAAGACGAUAAGACCCUAUUGAACUUAACUAUAGUUAAACUGGGGCAGUUAAUUAAAUACAAUUUUAAUUUCAACCUAAAAAAUUACCUAACACAGUUAAUAUUAUCAAGUUACCAUAGGGAUAACAGCGUAAUAAUUUUCUUAAGAUCUUAUUUAAAAAACUGUUUGCGACCUCGAUGUUGAAUUAAUAUUCUAUUGAAUGCAAUAAUCCAAUAAGAAAGUCUGUUCGACUU